Dermacentor albipictus is the source of this 1420-nucleotide long non-coding RNA. RefSeq lists it as uncharacterized. NCBI's taxonomy places the organism in Eukaryota, Metazoa, Arthropoda, Arachnida, Ixodida, Ixodidae. The record is from RefSeq and is a predicted model, not a curated record.
UUUUUUUUCUUUCGGUUGUCACGAAACUGCUCUCCGCCUCUCGAGUGAAUGUGUAGUUGUGGGUCAGUUCGUAAACGCCGGUCACACUUGUAUAUUCCUGCUGCCUCGCACGCGACGAUAUUAAAUUCGUAUUCGUCGCGCGGAUGACUCAACGCGACCAAUUUAUACGCGUCGUCUCGUCAACUGCACUUAUAGCCCUGGAUCGACGUCCGCUCGAAGCAACGUCGCCCCAUGGUGUUCACCUGGGUUGGCCACCUUUUCUGCAUUCUUACCCUCUUGAAGUGUCCGAGUUCUCGUGUGCAGACUUUCAAACGGCCCAUUCUUUCAAGCUUCCGCAACAUCAAGAGCGGUGUUACGUCCUACAAAGGCUCCAGUCUCACGUGCGACAAAAUUUUUUUCUCUGCUUCACUGACCUCCAUGACCCGGUCCACGCGGAACCCAACAGCCUUCUAUGGAAAGAAACCUAAGAUCAUCCUGUUGACCCGACCAUGGUGCGUAGUACAAGGCGAUGGCCGUUGUACAGCGGAAACAGACGCAGAUGAGGUGUUCGAUAUGGACUCCUCCCCGCCGAAAGUGUCGUACGAGGGCGUCUUCUCCCAUUGCAGUGAAGAACGAGUGUAUAGGCCUUGGUGAACUUCACGGACAACCACAAACAACACAAUGAGGUUACUCCGCAAUCGGAGAAGGUCUUGUAUUAUCGCUGCAACUUCAAGGAGUGGUCGCGAAUAUUCGCAGCUGUAUAAGGAGUGUUCCCACAAGAGAGAGAGAGAGAGAGAGAGAGAGGGAAAGGAGAACUCGGCACGUAUAACGACUUCCAAGUGCACGCACAGCACCGACAACAUUGUGAACGAUGCUGGAAGUCAGCGCGCCCGCCGCGGCAAGGAGCUUUCCGCUUUUGCACCAGCCGUUCGCUCAUUUUGUUGUUCUUGCCGUGUCCUCCGGGUUGCGUUGUUUCUCCCGGAGAGAAAGAGAGGCGAAGAGCCCGCGUUUAUACGCGCUUGUCAUGUCCUGCCGCUGCGGUGUUUCCUCGCAGUGAGAAAAAAAUAGAGAGAGGAAGUGUACCCACUCGUGAGAAAGUCACGGCAGUUUGAUGCCGUCCGGCGCUCAAAGUUUUCGCGCGAGACGUACGGGGCAUACACAACAAGGCGUACCUGGCAUGCGCGCAUGGGAGCGAACGAGACGGCUUGUGUACAGUAUGGACGAGGAAGGAUCCCUUCUGUAAGAGGCCUCACUUAGGCCGCGCACGUUGGAAGGGCAGGUGGCGCCUGCAAACAUGCAGGGGCGCCAAAAGCCCUAAGCGUUGCGACUGUUCCUCAAGCGAACAUCCUACCUUCUCCGUUUCCUAUUAUGAUUAUUUUGAUAACUACUCUUGUCUUCUUUUUAAUCCGCGCUUUCCUAUUUCCUCAUUCCGAUUCGAACA